Long non-coding RNA from Gadus morhua (Atlantic cod), 2623 nucleotides. RefSeq lists it as uncharacterized. The record is from RefSeq and is a predicted model, not a curated record. NCBI's taxonomy places the organism in Eukaryota, Metazoa, Chordata, Actinopteri, Gadiformes, Gadidae. The transcript has 2 exons.
CGGCCGGUUCCGGUCUGUGUGUUUAUCGCGCUGGCCAGCUGUCGUUGAUGCACUUUAAACAUGAAUCAAGACCGCAAACAUUUAAAAACUGUUCAUUUUUAUAGGCAGGAGAAACCUACGCCGAGCACUGCUGUGUCCCCCACUGUAAAGCGUCAGCCAAAUCCAAAGGGGUAUUACGUUUCCAUGGCUUCCUGAGCCAAACUGACGUGAGGAGUCAAUGGAUUGUAAACAUACGCCGGGAUAAAUAUGUCAUCACCACUCACUCUAAGAUCUGUAGCAGACACUUUAGUUCUGACAAGAUGAUUGAGCCAACUACUCUUCAGGUUCGAAGGAGACUUACAAAAGGUGCCGUAUGUCCCAUCACUCACGGGGUCGCCGAGCGGCGUUAUUACGUAACUAGAUGGAUCGAUUUGAUUGGCCCGGGCGUCAGUCACUCAGUCCGGUGACUGUUCAAGUCAGGCCAGGAGGACCAUCAGGCCACCGGGAAACGUCCCGGUGCUCCCGACGGCCAAUCCGCCACUGGCUGCAACAUCUGGCUGAGUUGUUUGUCUGUUUACUUUAUAUUAACAACUUAACAUGGUGUCAGAAGUAAAAGGAAAAACACUAACAUCGGUAUUGCAAACAUGGAAGGACUUAAGCCGCCCGCUGGACUUGAUCUACUGCACGGUAACCUGUCAGAAAACUGGAGGAGAUUUCGGCAGAGCUUUGAGCUGUAUUUAACAGCUGCUGGGGGCGCUAGCAAGUCAGCUAAGGUACAGUCCUCACUAUUUCUUCAUAUAGCCGGCGAAGAGGCAGUGGAAGUGUACAAUACCCUCACGUUUGACGAGGAGGAUGAUAGGCUUAAACUGGCGAUAAUUCUGGAAAAAUUUGAAGAAUACUGCAACCCCAGAAAGAAUAUAACCUAUGAAAGGUACACAUUUUUCACGUGUGUGCAAGGGGACAUGUCAUUUAACCAAUACCUUACGGAGUUAAAACUAAAGGCAAAGUCAUGUGAAUUCGCACAGUUAAGAGAGUCCCUUAAAAGAGAUCGAGUUGUCUGUGGAAUCACGUCUGAUACGUUGAGAGAGCGAUUGUUACGUGAAGUUGACAUUUCUCUUGAAAAGGCAGCGCAGCUGUGCCUCGCGGCUGAAAUAACAAAAGUACAAAUAAAACAAAUGCAUGAAGAGGAUCACAAUGCGCAAUCCUUUGCAAGUGAAAGCAAGGACAUAGAUGCAGUGAGGCACAAGCAGACACGCGAUAAAGAAUACCGAAAUAAAACCCAAGUAAGCAUGCAAGACAAGGGUCGCACGUUUUAUUGCACAAGAUGUGGAACUGAGCAUGUAUCACGAAAAUGCCCGGCUUUUGGCAAACAAUGUAAGAACUGUGAGAAAAUGAACCACUUUGCCAAGGUGUGUAGGUCGAUGAAGACAGUGUACUCAGUGGCCUGGAAUGUCGGAAAAAAUCACAGAGAUGGUGAACAGGUGUGACGUGUGCAGGACAUAUCAGAAACGUCAAACUAAAGAGCCACUACAACCACACAGUGUUCCAGAAAGACCCUGGCAGAAGAUAGGUGUUGACCUAUUCACCUUUAGCCAGCAGGAGUAUUUACUACUGGUGGAUUACUAUUCUAAGUUCAUAGAGGUGGAGUGGUUGAAGUCAGACACAAGAAGUGCAACAAUCAUCACACAUCUGAAGUCACAGUUCGCCAGACAUGGCAUUCCUGAAAUAGUGAUCUCAGAUAACGGACCACAGUUCAGCUCUCGUGAGUUCCAAGCCUUUGCAAAAGAGUGGGAGUUCAGUCACCAAACUUCAAGCCCCUACCAUGCGCAGUCUAAUGGACUGGCAGAAAGAGGAAUACAGACUAUCAAACUCAUGCUUAAAAAAUCGAAAGCUGAUGGAAAAGAUCCAUAUCUGUCGUUGCUGAGUCUGAGGAGUACACCUCUGGAGGAUGUCGGAGUGUCACCAGCCCAGCUGUUGAUGGGUCGACGUUUGAGAACAAGACUUCCGACGACAUCCCAGAUGCUGAAACCUCAAAUGGUCACAAGCACAGUACAACAGGUGUUUGAUACAAGACAACAGAAACAGAAAGAAUAUUUCGAUCAAGGAGCCAGAGCACUCCAGAAACUUGAGGUUGGCGACAAUGUCAGAAUCUGGCAGGAAGGAUAAUGGAAUCCAGCCCAGGUAACGGGACUUUCUGACCAGCCAAGAUCAUAUGUAAUACAGACACCUGGGGGACAAGUAUACAGAAGAAACAGAAAGUAUCUGAUGCAGUCCAAGGAACUGAGUAACACACUAAAGGACACCAACAAACAAGAUGUGACUCAACAGGAUGUGCAUGACAGUACAGAGAAAAAGCAUGAAAUGGACAUUCAAAAGAAAACAUCAGGAAGUAAUUCUAGUCCUACAAAGCUUUCAAGUCUACCUGUUACAACAGCAAGUGGACGAAUUGUCUCAAAGACAAGAAGAUUCAUCGAAGAGUACUAGGAUUUUUUUUUCAUGUUUGAGCAGUUGUUUAGCUCAAUGGACAAAAAAAAAAAAAAAAAGGAAAAUAAAGAGGAUGUCAUGAUAUGUAUAAAUGCAGAUCAUGUGUAAGCCACUGGAGGCGCUAGAGUUGAAUAAACUACCACAAGAUGGCUGCAACAUC